ACGAACGCUGGCGGCGUGCUUAACACAUGCAAGUCGAACGGUGAAGCGCCUUCCUUUUUGGUGGGUGUGGAUGAGUGGCGAACGGGUGAGUAACACGUGAGUAACCUGCCCCCUUCUUCUGGAUAACCGCAUGAAAAUGUGGCUAAUACGGGAUAUUCUGGGUCUGUCGCAUGAUGGGUCUGGGAAAGAUAUUGUUUCGGUGGGGGAUGGGCUCGCGGCCUAUCAGCUUGUUGGUGGGGUGAUGGCCUACCAAGGCGGUGACGGGUAGCCGGCCUGAGAGGGUGGACGGUCACACUGGGACUGAGACACGGCCCAGACUCCUACGGGAGGCAGCAGUGGGGAAUAUUGCACAAUGGGCGCAAGCCUGAUGCAGCGACGCCGCGUGAGGGAUGGAGGCCUUCGGGUUGUGAACCUCUUUCGCCAGUGAAGCAGGCCUGCCUCGUUUGUGGGUGGGUUGACGGUAGCUGGAGAAGAAGCGCCGGCUAACUACGUG
RNAcentral lists this ribosomal RNA (493 nucleotides) under uncultured bacterium. RNAcentral's name for it is "partial 16S ribosomal RNA". It matches the Rfam family "Bacterial small subunit ribosomal RNA", at positions 29 to 507 of the family's 1533-position model. The record is from RNAcentral.